CGCCUGCUGGGGGCAGAUGAAGUGGACGUGGGUGUCGAUGGCGCCGGCGGUGAGGAUCUUGCCGUUGCCGGCGAUGAUCUCGGUCUCCGGGCCGAUGACCAGGCCGGGGUGGACACCGUCCAUGGUGUCCGGGUUGCCCGCCUUGCCGAGGGCGGUGAUCCGGCCGUCGCGGAUGCCGACGUCGGCCUUGACGAUGCCCCAGUGGUCGAGCACGACGGCGCCGGUGAUCACGGUGUCGGGGGCGCCCUCGGCGCGGGUGACGCGGGACUGGCCCAUCGAUUCGCG
This 285-nucleotide small RNA is filed under the name Streptomyces sp. NBRC 110611. RNAcentral's name for it is "5' ureB small RNA". It matches the Rfam family "5' ureB small RNA". Lineage: Bacteria; Bacillati; Actinomycetota; Actinomycetes; Kitasatosporales; Streptomycetaceae. The record is from Rfam by way of RNAcentral.